CCUACGGGUGACAGCAGUGGGGAAUAUUGCACAAUGGGGGAAACCCUGAUGCAGCGACGCCGCGUGAGUGAAGAAGUCCUUCGGUAUGUAAAGCUCUUUCAGCAGGGAAGAAAAUGACGGUACCUGACUAAGAAUCCACGGCUAACUACGUGCCAGCAGCCGCGGUAAUACGUCGGGGGCAGGCGUUAUCCGGAUUUACUGGGUGUAAUGGGAGCGUAGACGGCCAGACAAGUCAGAAGUGAAAGCCCAGGGCUCAACCCUGGGACUGCUUUUGAAACUGCCGGGCUGGAGUGCAGGCGAGGUAAGCGGAAUUCCUAGUGUAGCGGUGAAAUGCGUAGAUAUGAGGAGGAACACCAGUGGCGAAGGCGGCUUGCUGGACUGUAACUGACGUUGAGGCUCGAAAGCGUGGGGAGCAAACAGGAUUAGAUACCCUAGUAGUC
RNAcentral lists this ribosomal RNA (440 nucleotides) under uncultured bacterium. Its description in RNAcentral is "partial 16S ribosomal RNA". It matches the Rfam family "Bacterial small subunit ribosomal RNA", at positions 338 to 795 of the family's 1533-position model. The record is from RNAcentral.